UCGAGGGGCAGCAUAUAGUAGCAAUACUUUGGUGGCGACCGGSGCACGGGGGAGUGAAGGGUAUGCAACCUACCUAUCAGAGGGGAAUAACUGGCGAAAGGCGGACUAAUACCGCAUAAAACAGGGGCACCGCAUGGUGAUAUUUGUUAAAGAAAUUCGCUGAUAGYUGGGCAUGCGUUCCAUUAGGUAGUUGGUGAGGUAACGGCUCACCAAGCCGACGAUGGAUAGGGGAACUGAGAGGUUGGUCCCCCACACUGGUACUGAGACACGGACCAKACUCCUACGGGAGGCAGCAGKGAGGAAUAUUGGUCAAUGGGCGAGAGCCUGAACCAGCCAAGUCGCGUGAAGGAAGAAGGAUCUAUGGUUCGUAAACUUCUUUUGCAGGGRAAUAAAGUGCGGGACGUGUCCUGUUUUGUAUGUACCCUGACAAUAAGGAUCUGYUAACUCCGWGCCAACAGYCGCGGUAAUACRGAKGACCSAGCGUUAUCCGGAUUUAUUGGGUUUAAAAGGGUGCGUAGGUGGUUUGAUAAGUCUGCGGGAAAMGUUUGCAGCUUAACUGUAAAAAUGCCGUUGAAACUGYCKGACUUUSA
RNAcentral lists this ribosomal RNA (590 nucleotides) under uncultured bacterium. RNAcentral describes it as "partial 16S ribosomal RNA". The record is from RNAcentral.